This is a long non-coding RNA of Spodoptera frugiperda (fall armyworm), 2662 nucleotides long. RefSeq lists it as uncharacterized. The transcript is spliced from 2 exons. The record is from RefSeq and is a predicted model, not a curated record. Lineage: Eukaryota; Metazoa; Arthropoda; Insecta; Lepidoptera; Noctuidae.
CUGAAACAAAAAGGUUCACUACAAAGCGAAGUACAUGGGUGCCUCAGACAGGUACUCCUAAAAUAAAUAAUAAUAAAGCUUUAAACUGGCGGGGUCCUCCUCAGGCAGAUGCUAAAAAGAGGGGGGGCCGUCACCCAGAACACCAGCAGCAGUCAGGACCAGGGAGAGCAAGAGGAGUCAACCUCAACGCAAAUGAACCAACAGGUGAGUAGACUUAACUACCACUUAAAUAAUUGAAAACUUGAUAACUCAGGAUCCAAUUAUUCUCAGUUGGGUUGCGGGAUACUCAACCCCUUUGUGUGAUAAACCACACCAGAGUUUAACUCAAGAUCCAAUUAUUCUCGGUUGGGUUGCAGGAUAUUCAAUCCUUUUGCAUAGUAAACCAUACCAGAGUUGUACUCAAAAUGAUAGGUUUUCUGAACUAGAAUCUUUACAGAUCACCGCAGAAAUUAACCAGUUAAGUACUUGCUAUGAAAGCAAUACAAACUUGCAAACCUGUAAAAAGAUUCAUUGUGUUCACCUAUUUUCCUUGUUAAAAAGAGCAAUGGAACUUUUCGUUUUGUUCUAAGUUUAAAGAAUUUAAAUAAUUUUGUUGAAACUGAGUAUUUCAAAUUGGAAAAUACCGAACAGUGUGCAAGUUUUUACAAAAAGAUGAUGUUCUUGUCAUCUUAUAUCUGAAAUAUACUUGUUAUAUGAUAAGUAUCAACAAGGAUAGUGAGAAAUAUUUAAGAUUUAUUUUUAAGGAAAACACUAUCAGUUAAAUACUUAUGUUUUAUUCUUGGGCCUUUGUACGGCUCCAUCAACAUUCACAAAAAUCAUGAACCAAUGAUGGUUUUCUUAAGAGAAAGAGGUUGUAUAUCAGUUAUCUAUUUAGAUGACUUUUUGUUUUUUUAAGUAUAUGAAACAACUAUGUUAUUAUGUUACAUAAACAAAAUUGUUAUAACAACAGUGUAUACAAAACAUACAAGCAACUGUGAAUUUACUAAAAACAUUAGGAUUUAUAGUUAGCCGAGCAAAGAGAAUAGUUAAGUGUGAUGUUACAACUGUAACUUUUAUUGUUACUAUACAAUACUAUAGAUAUGACUCUUAACAUUACUGAAAAGGAAAGAAAUAUAUUCUUUUAUUGUUUUUUCCAAGCUUAUAAAAUAAUUACUGUAUAAAAUUAUGAUUAAAGUUAGAAUUUAGGCUAAUUAAAGAGUCUAGGGCUCACAUAAAUUCACUGGAAUUAAUAGCUGCCUUUUUUGUUUUAAAAAUGUUUGCUUAUAAAUGAAGAAAUAGUGAUAAUAUUAUUGCUGUAACCUAUAUGUAUAAAUAGAUUAGGAGGAAUUUAAUAUAAUUUUUUACAUAGGAUUUCUAAGAAUAUUUGGCAAAGGUGUGAAUUUUAAAAGACUAUUGUUUGAUGCUAAUUACAUAAACACUAAAGAUAGUGUGAUAGCUUUUUUGAGUCUAGAAGGAAGAUAGGAAGAUAGACAUUACAAAAUGGGAACUGAGCAAUAUAAACAAUCCAAAGGUUAUUGAUAUAUACUAAUGCAAGGUGUUGCACUUAUAUGUCAUGGCAACCAGACCUAGGAGCUGUUGCAGUUGAUGCUUUCACCAUUCCUUGGACUAAAUACAGCUUAUUUUAUUUAUUAUUUCUCCUCCAUUCUCUAUGGUUCUUAAAACCCUAGAAAAUAAAUUACAGACAAAGCAACAGGUAUAAUAGUUGUGCCCCAUUGGGUCACUCAGUGGUUAUUGUUAAUGUUAAUAGAUUAUUGUUAAAGGAACCUGUUAUAUUUUUACCUUCUAAGUCCUUAUCUUGCAUAAUUCCAGAUUGUUACACCCCUUUUAUAAGAAAGUGGUAUUGAUGGUAGAAGCAUUAUCAGGAAAACAUAGAGUUAGGAAUUUGUGAUGAAGCAGUUCUUGUCUUGAUGAAUUCAAUAUCUAAAGAUACUUUGAAUCAUGCAAAUCAUGCAUGCAUGUGCAUUAGUAUCAUAGGCUAAGUAUUUAAAUCCAUAAAUAUAAACAUUACUAAGCCUACCAUUACUGAAGUUAUUUCAGUACCGUACUUUGUGAUUCAAUGAAAGAGUUACAGUUAGUAACAUAUGGUAAUUUGAAUUCCGUAAGAUUAGCUCUAUCAUUAGUUAUAGGACCACAUUUGGAUACCGAUCAUUAGAUCAAAAGAUUGUUCAAGGGAUUUUUUUAAAUUAAGACCCCCAAACCCAAAUAUAAUAAUACUUGGGAUAUGUCUUUGUACUUGAUUAUAUUGAAAAGAAUUAUACUCUAGAGAAAGAAUUAUCUGCAGAUUGUUACCAAGAAAACCUUAUUAACGUUGGCCACGGGUUAAAGGGCUCAAACAGUAGCCCUGAUUAAUAUUAUUAAUAUAAUGAUUAAACAAGACUGUAUUAAUCAAUUCAUCAAUCUAUUUGUAAAAGAUAGAUUGAUCAAGACUUUAGGACCAAACAGGGUCAACUUUUUAUAACUGAUCCUUUUCUUUAAUGCUAGGAAAGGAGUAUGUCCAGCCACUGCGGUGGUCAACAAUUUAAAAGUUACAAAGGGUUUACGUGAUUUUAAAAGUACUAGCUUAUUUGUAUCUACAAAGGAGCCAUAUAAAGCUGUGUGCUUCAGUACAAUCAGCCGUUGGGUCAAAAGAGCCAUGGAAGAGAGUGGAAUUGACACUAGUGUA